Molecule: ribosomal RNA, 731 nt
Filed under: uncultured bacterium
Lineage: Bacteria
Description: bacterial SSU rRNA
Rfam family: Bacterial small subunit ribosomal RNA
Source: RNAcentral
AACAGGAUUAGAUACUCUGGUAGUCCACGCCGUAAACGAUGUCUACUAGCUGUUCGUGGUCUUGUACUGUGAGUAGCGCAGCUAACGCACUAGGUAGACCGCCUGGGGAGUACGGUCGCAAGAUUAAAACUCAAAUGAAUUGACGGGGGCCCGCACAAGCGGUGGAGCAUGUGGUUUAAUUCGACGCAACGCGAAGAACCUUACCUACUCUUGACAUCUACGGAAGACUGCAGAGAUGCGGUUGUGCCUUCGGGAACCGUAAGACAGGUGCUGCAUGGCUGUCGUCAGCUCGUGUUGUGAAAUGUUGGGUUAAGUCCCGCAACGAGCGCAACCCCUAUCCUUAGUUGCCAGCGAGUUAAGUCGGGAACUCUAGGGAGACUGCCGGUGAUAAACCGGAGGAAGGUGGGGACGACGUCAAGUCAUCAUGGCCCUUACGAGUAGGGCUACACACGUGCUACAAUGGUACGUACAGAGGGAGGCAAGCUGGCGACAGUGAGCGGCCCUCUUAAAGCGUAUCGUAGUCCGGAUCGCAGUCUGCAACUCGACUGCGUGAAGUCGGAAUCGCUAGUAAUCGCAAAUCAGAAUGUUGCGGUGAAUACGUUCCCGGGCCUUGUACACACCGCCCGUCACACCAUGGGAGUGGGUUGCAAAAGAAGUAGGUAGCUUAACCUUCGGGAGGGCGCUUACCACUUUGUGAUUCAUGACUGGGGUGAAGUCGUAACAAGGUAACC